AUUCCAAUCCCUGCCCGGAUGGUGAAUAAUAGCGCCCCGGUCUGCACACCGGGAAUCCAGGAGAGUUCAUGUAC
RNAcentral lists this small RNA (74 nucleotides) under Cedecea davisae. RNAcentral describes it as "PyrD leader". It matches the Rfam family "PyrD leader". Lineage: Bacteria; Pseudomonadati; Pseudomonadota; Gammaproteobacteria; Enterobacterales; Enterobacteriaceae. The record is from RNAcentral.